RNAcentral lists this transfer RNA (74 nucleotides) under Caudoviricetes sp. RNAcentral describes it as "tRNA-Asn". It matches the Rfam family "tRNA". From Rfam's summary of the family: Transfer RNA (tRNA) molecules are approximately 80 nucleotides in length. Their secondary structure includes four short double-helical elements and three loops (D, anti-codon, and T loops). The record is from RNAcentral. Lineage: Duplodnaviria; Heunggongvirae; Uroviricota; Caudoviricetes.
GGAUCGUUAGCUCAGUUGGUAGCAGCGACUCCCUGUUAAGGAGAAGGUCGUAGGUUCGAACCCUACACGAUCCG